RNAcentral lists this ribosomal RNA (450 nucleotides) under uncultured bacterium. Its description in RNAcentral is "partial 16S ribosomal RNA". It matches the Rfam family "Bacterial small subunit ribosomal RNA", at positions 29 to 523 of the family's 1533-position model. The record is from RNAcentral.
AACGAACGCUGGCGGCAGGCCUAACACAUGCAAGUCGAACGCCCUAGCAAUAGGGAGUGGCAGACGGGUGAGUAACACGUGGGAACCUUCCCUAUAGUACGGAAUAGCCCAGGGAAACUUGUAGUAAUACCGUAUAUGCCCGAGAGGGGAAAGACUUAUACGCUAUAGGAUGGGCCCGCGUGGGAUUAGCUAGUUGGUGAGGUAACGGCUCACCAAGGCAACGAUCCGUAGCUGGUUUGAGAGAAUGACCAGCCACACUGGGACUGAGACACGGCGCAGACUCCAACGGGAGGGAGCAGUGGGGAAUCUUGGACAAUGGGAGCAAGCCUGUUCCAACCAUGCCGCGUGAGUGAGAAGGGCCUUAGGGUUGUAAAGCUCUUUUGUCGGGGACGAUAAUGACGGUACCCGAAGAAUAAGCUCCGGCUAACUUCUUGCCAGCCGCCGCCGUAA